This 961-nucleotide long non-coding RNA is filed under the name Helianthus annuus (common sunflower). RNAcentral's name for it is "hypothetical non coding rna". Lineage: Eukaryota; Viridiplantae; Streptophyta; Magnoliopsida; Asterales; Asteraceae. The record is from RNAcentral.
CUCCGGCUCCGGUGGUGUUCCGUCACCAUUAGCCAUCGUGACAUGCAUCGGCAUGACUAUGUUGUACGUCGCAAUCCUCCAUCUCCCGCCCCCCUUUCACCUUCGUUUCACUUGUUUUCUGCGCCUUUAUUCUUCCUGAACAAGUAAGACAACAAGGACUGAGAAUACGAAUCUCUCCACCGUGACUUGAACAUUGGAUUCGGUACAUGGGAAUUUGAUCCAACAGAAAUUGAAAACCCGUUUCCAGAAAACGAAGGGUAUAUGGCAGGGUGAUGAGGAUAUUCUUGUGCCCCUGACUGCAACUAUAUAUAGCUCACCAUUCCCCAUCAUUGACCUGUGGAACACGCAAAAAUGGUUUCCAAGUCUAACCGUUAUCGCUCACAGCCCUAAUAAUCUUUCCCGCACUCAAGCUGAUAUUUACAGCUGGCAGAGCCAACAGAAAUUGAGAACCCGUUUCCAGAAUACGAAUCUCUCCACCGUGACUUGAACAUUGGAUUCGGUACAAAGGAAUUUGAUCCAACAUAAAUUGAGGGGUAACGAAGGUUAUGUUCAUAUAUGGCAGGGUGAUGAGUAUAUUCUUGUGCCCGUGACACCGCAACGGUAUAUAGCCCAACAACUUCCAUGGAUAAACUAUCACGAGCUAACGGGUGCGAGCCACAUGUUCCCGUAUGCUGAUGCGAACUGUUAGUUCAUAAUGUUGUUUUUGGGCUUGAUUUCUAGCUUCCUAUUGUCUUAAACAAACCAUUGUUAAGAUAAUACAAUACUGGUAGUAUAUUUAGCGUUAUGCUUUAGGGUUUGAAGUUGAUAGUUAAAACAUAUGGUAAUGCGAUCAUGUUAUUUUAUCGUGUUACUUGUGUUUCAUUAUUUCUUAACUGUGGUUAGUGAGUUAGGAAACAUGUCGUCCCAUUCCUGUUAUUGAACAACUUAUAUUUAAGUGUAUUAAAUAUGUCAUGUCAUUCGU